RNAcentral lists this ribosomal RNA (478 nucleotides) under uncultured bacterium. Its description in RNAcentral is "partial 16S ribosomal RNA". It matches the Rfam family "Bacterial small subunit ribosomal RNA", at positions 28 to 523 of the family's 1533-position model. The record is from RNAcentral.
GACGAACGCUGGCGGCGUGCUUAACACAUGCAAGUCGAACGGUAAGGCCCUUCGGGGUACACGAGUGGCGAACGGGUGAGUAACACGUGGGUGAUCUGCCCUGCACUUCGGGAUAAGCCUGGGAAACUGGGCCUAAUACCGGAUAGGACCACUGCCUGCAUGGGUGGGGGUGGAAAGCUUUUGCGGUGUGGGAUGGGCCCGCGGCCUAUCAGCUUGGUGGUGGGGGGAUGGCCUACCAAGGCGACGACGGGUAGCCGGCCUGAGAGGGUGACCGGCCACACUGGGACUGAGAUACGGCCCAGACUCCUACGGGAGGCAGCAGUGGGGAAUAUUGCACAAUGGGCGCAAGCCUGAUGCAGCGACGCCGCGUGAGGGAUGACGGCCUUCGGGUUGUAAACCUCUUUCAGCACCGACGAAGCGCAAGUGACGGUAGGUGCAGAAGAAGGACCGGCCAACUACGUGCCAGCAGCCGCGGUAA